GGAUUGAAAUGGACGCAGUCUGAUCCAGCCAUGCCGCGUGCGGGAAGAAGGCCUUCGGGUUGUAAACCGCUUUUGUCAGGGAAGAAAAGUCUGGGGCUAAUAUCCUCGGAUGAUGACGGUACCUGAAGAAUAAGCACCGGCUAACUACGUGCCAGCAGCCGCGGUAAUACGUANGGUGCAAGCGUUAAUCGGAAUUACUGGGCGUAAAGCGUGCGCAGGCGGUUCUAUAAGACAGAUGUGAAAUCCCCGGGCUCAACCUGGGAACUGCAUUUGUGACUGUAGAGCUGGAGUGCGGCAGAGGGGGAUGGAAUUCCGCGUGUAGCAGUGAAAUGCGUAGAUAUGCGGAGGAACACCGAUGGCGAAGGCAAUCCCCUGGGCCUGCACUGACGCUCAUGCACGAAAGCGUGGGGAGCAAACAGGAUUAGAUACCCUGGUAGUCCACGCCCUAAACGAUGGAUACUCGACAUCAGCGAUACACUGUUGGUGUCUGAGCGAAAGCAUUAAGUAUCCCACCUGGGAAGUACGACCGCAAGGUUGAAACUCAAAAAAAUUGACGGA
Molecule: ribosomal RNA, 558 nt
Filed under: uncultured bacterium
Lineage: Bacteria
Description: bacterial SSU rRNA
Rfam family: Bacterial small subunit ribosomal RNA
Source: RNAcentral